This 253-nucleotide ribosomal RNA is filed under the name uncultured bacterium. Its description in RNAcentral is "partial 16S ribosomal RNA". It matches the Rfam family "Bacterial small subunit ribosomal RNA", at positions 524 to 776 of the family's 1533-position model. The record is from RNAcentral.
GACGUAGGGUGCGAGCGUUGUCCGGAAUUAUUGGGCGUAAAGGGCUCGUAGGCGGUCUGUCGCGUCGGGAGUGAAAACUCGGGGCUUAACCCCGAGCCUGCUUCCGAUACGGGCAGACUAGAGGUAUGCAGGGGAGAAUGGAAUUCCUGGUGUAGCGGUGAAAUGCGCAGAUAUCAGGAGGAACACCGGUGGCGAAGGCGGGUCUCUGGGCAGUAACUGACGCUGAGGAGCGAAAGCGUGGGGAGCGAACAGG